UGUAAGCGUAUACCAAAGUUGUUGCAGUUAAAACGCUCGUAGUCGGAAUUUGGCAGUUCCGGAUGUGUGCACGUCGUGUGCGCACUUCGCGGGGAUUGCUUUUGUGGUCUUGCGUAGGAUGAGGCACUUUUAUUAGUGAACGUCCUCACGCAACCACUUUUUACUGUGAGAAAAUCAGAGUGCUCAAAGCAGGCAUUUGCCGUGAAUGUAUUAGCAUGGAAUAAUAGAAUAGGACUUGGUCCUAUUUUGUUGGUUUGUUGGGACUGAGUAAUGAUUAAGAGGGACAGUUGGGGGCAUUUGUAUUUCGGUGCUAGAGGUGAAAUUCUUAGAUUGCCGAAAGACAAACUGCUGCGAAAGCGUCUGCCAAGGAUGUUUUCAUUGA
This 382-nucleotide ribosomal RNA is filed under the name uncultured eukaryote. RNAcentral describes it as "partial 18S ribosomal RNA". It matches the Rfam family "Eukaryotic small subunit ribosomal RNA", at positions 592 to 976 of the family's 1831-position model. The record is from RNAcentral.